Homo sapiens (human) is the source of this 731-nucleotide long non-coding RNA. Ensembl annotates it as long intergenic non-protein coding RNA 1638. The record is from Ensembl. Lineage: Eukaryota; Metazoa; Chordata; Mammalia; Primates; Hominidae.
AGCGCAAAGGCACUGCACUCACGCACGCCAUGCACAUGCUGGCUCACCUCCUCCAUCCCAUGCCUCCCCUGUCUCCAGGUCUCUGUCUCUUACUUUAUUUUUCUCUCCACCUCCUUGUGUCUGCCUGCCUAAAGAUUUCUGAUGCUUAAUCCUCCUCUGUCUCCCUUGCUGUCUUUCUCUGUCAUUGUAUCUCUUGGCAUCUCAGUUCCACGUCUUCUGUUUCUCUCUCUUUCUCCACCUAUUUUCCCUUCAGAAGCAUUUUCACCCCAAUGUCUCUGUAUGUUCCUUGCAGCAUUCCCUCUGGAAUACAUCAGCACUGUUGCCUUUGAGGCUGGCCUGCUUGAAUGCACACCUGAGCUCCGGAUUCACAGCAAUUUCUUGGAUGAUUCACAGUGGAGGAAGCCAGAUGCCAUGUCAUGAGGGUGCUCAAGCAACUUUUUGGAGAUGUAUGUAUGGAGAGAAACUGAGGCCUCCUGCCAACAGCCAGCACUAACUUGGCAAGCAUGUUUGAGAGCCACCUGGGAAGUGGAGCCUUCAGCCCCAGUUAAGCCUUCAGAUGAGACUGCAGUCCUGGCCACCAUCUGGACUGCAACUUCACAAGAGCUCCUAAGCCAGAGCCAUGCAGAUGGAUUCUUGGCCCCCAGAAAUUGUGCCACUACAUUUUGGGAAAUUUAUUAUGCAGCCAUAGAUUACCAAUACACUCACUAUUUCUUUUUUCUGAUGCCAUACUA